Chinchilla lanigera (long-tailed chinchilla) is the source of this 750-nucleotide long non-coding RNA. RefSeq lists it as uncharacterized. The transcript is spliced from 3 exons. Lineage: Eukaryota; Metazoa; Chordata; Mammalia; Rodentia; Chinchillidae. The record is from RefSeq and is a predicted model, not a curated record.
GGAAUUAUUGUGUGUUUGGCUAAAUACAAGGGAUAACACUUGAGGUAAGGAAAAGAGAAAAAGUAGAAGAAAGGAAGAUAUAUGUUGGCUAAGCUGCAUUUUUUUCCAUUUGGACUGAUCGUCUAGGACGAGCAAGAUUUAGACCAGUCCAAGGGUUUCUCUACUUAACUCAGGUAGACUUUGAAUUCACUAAUAGCCUCAGAAGGCCUCAAACAACCCGUGAUCUUGCUGCCUCAGCCUUCCAAUUACAGACACACUGUAAUGACAAUCCAGGGCCACCACAGCCAUUUCACGUGGUGAUUUGGCUCUUGAAGGAAUCAGACCCCACUGGGGAUGACUUGCCUCUGAUCUCAGGCAUCUCGGGUCCAGCCGGGAGACUCAAAGCCUGGGGGUGCGUCAAGAAUCAAAUACUUUAGUGUAUUCUGACUGGAAAACUGAUAGUUGCCAACUGAAGACCAACCGGAAUUAGAAGGAAUCCUCAAAAAACAACACGGUGGGCUCUCUGUAUCUGCAGAUCAAUCGAUGGAUUCAGCCAAGUGAAGAUCAAAGAUAUUCUUAAAAAUUGUUUCUGUGCUGACCGUGGACAGUUAUUUUUGUCACUAUUCCCUAAACAAUGUGUACGGUAUUUCAUUGUACUAGGUAGUGUACAUAAGCUGUGCAAAUACUGCACCAUUUUAUGUGUGGAAUCUGAACCACCAAAGAUUUUGGUAUCUGCAGUGGGUCCUGGAAUCACAACCCCCAAAGAUACUG